AAAACAAGAUUAUACAUUAAUACAAGUUUCUGCAACUUCAAAACCAAAGGAUAUUUAGGAUAAAACGAAAAAAAUUUAUAGUUGAUAGCAAAACUGUCAAUCUUUCAACAUUUCUCCUUGGUAAUUUUGUUAUCACUUGCCAAGUAUCUUUCUUAAGACUUUAAAACUGUGCUUGGAAAAUUGUUUGGUAAAGAUAUCAGUCAGUUGCUCUUUAAAAUUGCAAUGUUGCAAACAAACUUCUUCUUCCUUAUCUUCUUCUCUCACACUGAUAUUUAAUCUUGAUGUGCUUAGUCUCACCAUGAAACACAUGAUUCUUGAUAAUGGCUGCAGCUGAUUGAUUCUGUUAUUAUUGAGCUUAUUUAGGAUUCCUUAUUCAGGAAAUCCUCUUGUAUAA
Molecule: long non-coding RNA, 394 nt
Filed under: Carica papaya (papaya)
Lineage: Eukaryota; Viridiplantae; Streptophyta; Magnoliopsida; Brassicales; Caricaceae
Description: long non-coding RNA (CPAP_LNC012881)
Source: RNAcentral